Molecule: transfer RNA, 86 nt
Filed under: Puniceicoccales bacterium
Lineage: Bacteria; Pseudomonadati; Verrucomicrobiota; Opitutia; Puniceicoccales
Description: tRNA-Leu
Rfam family: tRNA
About the family: Transfer RNA (tRNA) molecules are approximately 80 nucleotides in length.
Source: RNAcentral
GCUCGGGUGGCGGAAUGGUAGACGCUGAGGACUUAAAAUCCUUUGUCCGCAAGGGCGUGCGGGUUCGACUCCCGCCCCGAGCACCA